Molecule: ribosomal RNA, 78 nt
Filed under: Bacillus cereus
Lineage: Bacteria; Bacillati; Bacillota; Bacilli; Caryophanales; Bacillaceae
Also listed under: 17 other names
Description: partial 16S ribosomal RNA
Rfam family: Bacterial small subunit ribosomal RNA
Source: RNAcentral
CUUUAUUGGAGAGUUUGAUCCUGGCUCAGGAUGAACGCUGGCGGCGUGCCUAAUACAUGCAAGUCGAGCGAAUGGAUU